Molecule: ribosomal RNA, 508 nt
Filed under: uncultured Glomeromycotina
Lineage: Eukaryota; Fungi; Glomeromycota
Description: SSU rRNA
Rfam family: Eukaryotic small subunit ribosomal RNA
Source: RNAcentral
AGCAGCCGCGGUAAUUCCAGCUCCAAUAGUGUAUAUUAAAGUUGUUGCAGUUAAAAAGCUCGUAGUUGAAUUUCGGGAUCAAUGUUUCGGUCAUGCCGUUGGUAUGUACUGAUAUUAUUGGUUUCUCACCUUCUAAAGAACCGUAAUGCCAUUAAUUUGGUGUCACGGGGAAUUAGGACUGUUACCUUGAAAAAAUUAGAGUGUUUAAAGCAGGCUAACGCUUGAAUACAUUAGCAUGGAAUAAUGAAAUAGGACAUCCGAUUCUAUUUUGUUGGUUUCUAGGAUCGAUGUAAUGAUUAAUAGGGAUAGUUGGGGGCAUUAGUAUUCAAUUGUCAGAGGUGAAAUUCUUGGAUUUAUUGAAGACUAACUACUGCGAGAGCAUUUGCCAAGGAUGUUUUCAUUAAUCAAGAAUGAAAGUUAGGGGAUCGAAGACGAUCAGAUACCGUCGUAGUCUUAACCAUAAACUAUGCCGACUAGGGAUCGGAUGAUGUUAAUUUUUUAAUGACUC